Molecule: unclassified non-coding RNA, 246 nt
Filed under: Glomus sp.
Lineage: Eukaryota; Fungi; Glomeromycota; Glomeromycetes; Glomerales; Glomeraceae
Description: partial contains 5.8S ribosomal RNA and internal transcribed spacer 2
Rfam family: 5.8S ribosomal RNA (bases 1-71)
Source: RNAcentral
GUGAAUCAUCGAAUUUUUGAACGCAAAUUGCACUUUCUGGUAUUCCGGAAAGUAUGCCUGUUUGAGGGUCAGUUAAAUAAAAAUCGGUGUUGUUGCUGUUAUUGGUGAUGCAGCGGAGUAGUGGAGUCGUCUUAUUUUCGGUUAAGUGACUUAAAAUUUUGUAUGAUUUUUGAACGUAUUUAAAUUACUUACGUACGCUUAUGAUAUCUAAUACUAUGUGCGGUCAGGUACAUGUCAUGGUGCGUA